This 295-nucleotide ribosomal RNA is filed under the name Nanos rubrosignatus. Its description in RNAcentral is "partial 28S ribosomal RNA". It matches the Rfam family "Eukaryotic large subunit ribosomal RNA", at positions 678 to 939 of the family's 3401-position model. Lineage: Eukaryota; Metazoa; Arthropoda; Insecta; Coleoptera; Scarabaeidae. The record is from RNAcentral.
GCAUGUGCGCGAGUCAUUGGGACUCUGUUAAACCUAAAGGCGCAAUGAAAGUAAAGGUCCGCCUCGCGCGGACCGAGGGAGGAUGGGUCCGUCCCCGGACGGGCCCCGCACUCCCGGGGCGUCUCGUUCUCAUCGCGAGAAGAGGCGCACCCAGAGCGUACACGCUGGGACCCGAAAGAUGGUGAACUAUGCCUGGUCAGGACGAAGUCAGGGGAAACCCUGAUGGAGGUCCGUAGCGAUUCUGACGUGCAAAUCGAUCGUCGGAACUGGGUAUAGGGGCGAAAGACUAAUCGAA